This 1101-nucleotide ribosomal RNA is filed under the name Triticum aestivum (bread wheat). Its description in RNAcentral is "partial small subunit ribosomal RNA". Lineage: Eukaryota; Viridiplantae; Streptophyta; Magnoliopsida; Poales; Poaceae. The record is from RNAcentral.
AUGUCCGCGGUUUUGUCCGCCCUCCGCAGCGCCGGCCGGCGGCAGCUCUCCGCUUCGACGGCCGGCGUGAGGCAGGCGACCGGGUCACACGUGUUCCGGAUUGACACGUACGCUCAGGCCAGGAGGACGAUGCCCAAGGGCUGGAAGAUGAGUUCGAGCACGUUCAGCGUCGGCGGCCACGACUGGCGUGUCGAGUGCUAUCCGAACGGCGACUGGCAGGAACAUGACGGCUCCAUCUCUCUCUACCUCAACCAUGCCAGCCACAGCAAGACCGGCGACGCCAUAGCGGAGUUCCGGUUUUGUAUACUCAACCAGGUGGACUGGGAGGAGCCAUCGUGGACUAGAUUCUCGGGGGUGCGCCUCUUCUCGGAUACCACCGAUCGGUCCUGGGGCUGGGCCGACUUCGUAAAACAUGAGAAUCUGGAGGAGGAGAAGGAUCUCUAUGUCAAGGACGACUGCCUCGCCGUCCUGUGCGACGUCACCGUCACAGCUGGGAUGCCCACCGACGACCACGCCGAGGCUGCCACGCCAAAACCUGAGGCCGUGGCGGCGGCACCACAUUUCGACUUACACGCGGAACUCGUCUCGAACAACCAAAAACCGGACGUGCUGAUUGAGGUCGGCGGCGAGACGUUGGCAGUCCACCGGCGGGUGCUCGAGGCCCGAUCCCCCGUCUUCAAGGCGGAUCUCUCCGAGGGCGCUACCACUGUGCUACGCGUCGACGACAUGGACGCCGACGUGUGCAAGGCUCUGCUCUGGUUCAUCUACAGCGGCACGCCGGAUAUGAACCAGCUAGAGACGGCGGACACGAUGGCUGAGCGGCUGCUCGUUGCGGCGGACAGGUAUAAGCUGGAGGAGCUGAAGCAGAUAUGCGCGGAUGCGCUACGCCGGCGAAUCCGCAUGAGCUCCGUGGGGACAACCCUUGCGCUGGCCGAGCGGCAUAGUUGCCCCGAACUGAGGGAAGCAUGCAUGCAGUACAUAUCUUUUCCCGGCAACUUGAAAGCACUCAUGGCUACCGAUGGUUUUGAGCAGAUGAAAACAGAUUGCUCCUCUGCUCUGUUGGAGCUCGUCCUGAAGCAGAUGGUGCGGCUGGAGCUGUAG